Parasteatoda tepidariorum (common house spider) is the source of this 483-nucleotide non-coding RNA. The record is from RefSeq and is a predicted model, not a curated record. Lineage: Eukaryota; Metazoa; Arthropoda; Arachnida; Araneae; Theridiidae.
AACAUUUUUAUCAUAAUAUUAAUUACUUGUAGGACUCAUCUUCACUGUGUUGCUUCGUGCAAUAAUUCAACUGCUGGAAAACCUUGAUCAACUUGAGUAAUCAUGAAACAACCUGGGAGAGAGUGAAAAAUGCUUUGAAUACCUCUGCAACUUAUAUGUCAAACUGAAAGAUUGUUGGAGAAAAAAGAGGAAAAACUUUGCAUUAAAGUGCUGCAAACUUUUAAAGAAAUGAUGUCAUUAGACCCAGACUAUGGAGAAAAGGUAUGUUUAGUCUUAACUAUUUACUUACAAGGGCAGUAAAUAACCAGUGACUUUUGAUUCGUAUUUGUUCCUAUUAUAAAUGGUUAUGAAAGCUUAAGUUCUGAUAAAGACCAAGUGUGUGUUUUUUUUUAUUCAUUGUUCUGCUUUUAUUAUACUAAUAGAUUACAAAGUUUGUCAUCAUUGCAAAUUAUUUGUUUCUUUUUGUUUCAUGUCAAGUUUCAG